UCAUAGGCUUUUUUAAAAGCCAUCUCCAGUAUGUCAAGCUUCAGAU
This is a non-coding RNA of Cariama cristata (Red-legged seriema), 46 nucleotides long. The record is from Rfam. Lineage: Eukaryota; Metazoa; Chordata; Aves; Cariamiformes; Cariamidae.